This 249-nucleotide ribosomal RNA is filed under the name uncultured bacterium. Its description in RNAcentral is "partial 16S ribosomal RNA". It matches the Rfam family "Bacterial small subunit ribosomal RNA", at positions 109 to 353 of the family's 1533-position model. The record is from RNAcentral.
AGUAACGCGUGGGUAACCUGCCUUAUACAGGGGGAGUAACAGUCAGAAAUGGCUGCUAAUACCGCAUAAGCGCACAGAGCUGCAUGGCUCAGUGUGAAAAACUACCGGUGGUAUAAGAUGGACCCGCGUUGGAUUAGCUAGUUGGUGGGGUAACGGCCCACCAAGGCGACGAUCCAUAGCCGGCCCUGAGAGGGUGAACGGCCACAUUGGGACUGAGACACGGCCCAGACUCCUACGGGAGGCAGCAUG